CUAUACUUUCAAACUCACGGUGCAGUAAUACAUUUAUAAGUUGUGUCUUUGUUUUGUUUCGCUUUUUUUUUCUUUUCGUUAAUCAAACGUUUUAAUAUUUGUGUAUUCUACAACUCAACGAUUUCGAAGAUACGUAUUUUCAAUCCUUGGAAUGAAUUUCUUCGUUACAAAAAUGAAUUGCUAACCUAUCAUCGAAAAAAAUCAUCGCAGCUCCUGCUAUACCUCCACCACAUUGAGCUGCUAUGUAAAGAGCUGCGCGUAACGGUGAGAUACGACGACAUAAGGAAAAGGAUAUUGAUACGGCAGGAUUUACGUGUGCUCCUGGAUAAACACCAACACGUUUGGAAAUUUCUAACGAGACGACCACAAAGAGACAUUCGAGAUACUCGUGCUCAUCUAUCGCGAGCGUGUAAGUGAAGAAACGUAAAUUGAAUGUGCCCACAUGCCUUCGAAUGAACGAGUUACGCGUUAACGAGCUAAUCGAGAGGGACUGCGAGGGCCGACCACAAGUGCCUCUAAAACGAGGGGUAAAGAGACCAUUUGCGAAACGAGAUGUUCGUUUUGAAAUAGAAAAAGAAAAAAAGGAAAAAGAAAGAUCGUCUCACCGCUAACAUGGCCAAAGAUGAGAUAGAUCGCUGAGACAGCGAAACCGGAAGCAAUUGCGGUCGCCAGGAUGGAGAGUCCGCUUCCGGAGACUGCGGUAGAAGAGGCUGCUCCGGAUACAACCAAG
Vespula vulgaris is the source of this 730-nucleotide long non-coding RNA. RefSeq lists it as uncharacterized. The record is from RefSeq and is a predicted model, not a curated record. Lineage: Eukaryota; Metazoa; Arthropoda; Insecta; Hymenoptera; Vespidae. The transcript is spliced from 5 exons.